AACGAACGCUGGCGGCAUGCCUAACACAUGCAAGUCGAACGAGACCUUCGGGUCUAGUGGCGCACGGGUGCGUAACGCGUGGGAACCUGCCCUUAGGUUCGGAAUAACUCCCCGAAAGGGGUGCUAAUACCGGUUAAUGUCUUCGGACCAAAGAUUUAUCGCCUUUGGAUGGGCCCGCGUUGGAUUAGCUAGUUGGUAGGGUAAAAGCCUACCAAGGCUACGAUCCAUAGCUGGUCUGAGAGGAUGAUCAGCCACACUGGGACUGAGACACGGCCCAGACUCCUACGGGAGGCAGCAGUGGGGAAUAUUGGACAAUGGGCGAAAGCCUGAUCCAGCAAUGCCGCGUGAGUGAUGAAGGCCUUAGGGUUGUAAAGCUCUUUUACCCGGGAUGAUAAUGACAGUACCGGGAGAAUAAGCUCCGGCUAACUCCGUG
RNAcentral lists this ribosomal RNA (433 nucleotides) under uncultured bacterium. RNAcentral describes it as "partial 16S ribosomal RNA". It matches the Rfam family "Bacterial small subunit ribosomal RNA", at positions 29 to 507 of the family's 1533-position model. The record is from RNAcentral.